This 656-nucleotide ribosomal RNA is filed under the name uncultured bacterium. RNAcentral's name for it is "bacterial SSU rRNA". It matches the Rfam family "Bacterial small subunit ribosomal RNA", at positions 8 to 662 of the family's 1533-position model. The record is from RNAcentral.
AGAGUUUGAUCAUGGCUCAGAUUGAACGCUGGCGGCAGGCCUAACACAUGCAAGUCGAGCGAGAAAGCACUUCGGUGUGAGUAGAGCGGCGGACGGGUGAGUAACGCGUAGGAAUUUGCCCAGUAGUGGGGGACAACAUGUGGAAACGCAUGCUAAUACCGCAUACGCCCUAAGGGGGAAAGCAGGGGAUCUUCGGACCUUGCGCUAUUGGAGAAGCCUGCGUCGGAUUAGCUAGUUGGUGGGGUAAAGGCCCACCAAGGCGACGAUCCGUAGCUGGUCUGAGAGGAUGAUCAGCCACACUGGGACUGAGACACGGCCCAGACUCCUACGGGAGGCAGCAGUGGGGAAUAUUGGACAAUGGGCGAAAGCCUGAUCCAGCCAUGCCGCGUGUGUGAAGAAGGCCUUAGGGUUGUAAAGCACUUUCAGUAGGGAGGAAAAGCUGUCGGUUAAUAACCGCCAGCCCUGACGUUACCUACAGAAGAAGCACCGGCAAACUCCGUGCCAGCAGCCGCGGUAAUACGGAGGGUGCGAGCGUUAAUCGGAAUUACUGGGCGUAAAGCGCGCGUAGGCGGCCUGAUAAGUUGGAUGUGAAAGCCCUGGGCUCAACCUAGGAACUGCAUUCAAAACUGUCAGGCUAGAGUAUGGUAGAGGAUAGU